Molecule: ribosomal RNA, 403 nt
Filed under: Bacteroidota bacterium
Lineage: Bacteria; Pseudomonadati; Bacteroidota
Also listed under: 1 other name
Description: Bacteroidetes bacterium partial 16S ribosomal RNA
Rfam family: Bacterial small subunit ribosomal RNA
Source: RNAcentral
UGGGGAAUCUUGCACAAUGGGGGCAACCCUGAUGCAGCGACGCCGCGUGAGCGAUGAAGGUUUUCGAAUCGUAAAGCUCUGUCCUAUGGGAAGAUAAUGACGGUACCAUAGGAGGAAGCCCCGGCUAACUACGUGCCAGCAGCCGCGGUAAUACGUAGGGGGCGAGCGUUGUCCGGAAUUACUGGGCGUAAAGGGUUCGCAGGCGGCAUGGCAAGUCCGAUGUAAAAGGCGAAGGCUUAACCUUCGUAAGCAUCGGAAACUGUCAAGCUUGAGUGAAGGAGAGGCAAGUGGAAUUCCUAGUGUAGCGGUGGAAUGCGUAGAUAUUAGGAGGAAUACCGGUGGCGAAGGCGACUUGCUGGACUUCAACUGACGCUGAGGAACGAAAGCGUGGGUAGCAAACAGG